UACGUAGGGUGCGAGCGUUAAUCGGAAUUACUGGGCGUAAAGUGUGCGCAGGCGGCACCGCAAGUCGAGUGUGAAAGCCCCGGGCUUAACUUGGGAAUUGCGCUCGAAACUAUGGUGCUGGAGUGUGGCAGAGGAAGGUGGAAUUCCAGGUGUAGCGGUGAAAUGCGUAGAGAUCUGGAGGAACACCGAUGGCGAAGGCAGCCUUCUGGGCCAACACUGA
Molecule: ribosomal RNA, 220 nt
Filed under: uncultured bacterium
Lineage: Bacteria
Description: partial 16S ribosomal RNA
Rfam family: Bacterial small subunit ribosomal RNA
Source: RNAcentral